GUUGUUUAUGUAAGAAUUUCAAGGCCACAACUCCAUAUUUGAAGUAAAGUGCUCAUAAAAUUAAUUGCAAGGAAAUCCAUCACUAUGAUUCAGUAAGUAAACAAAUUCAAGGUGUCACAUCAUAUUGCUUUUUAUGCUUUUGAUUUUAGUAAUAUCCUUUCACAUUCAUAAUCCAGAUAGAGAGAUAAGCAAGAUUGUAUCCACCAAGCCUCCUCUUUAUUGAUCUUCCAAACUGAAAAACAUAGCUGCCAUUUUAGUCAGCAGUUAAACUUUAUUAUAGAAUAUUUUUAUACCUUUUCUGCUAACAUUACCUGCAACUCCCAUGGUGAUGCUCAAAUCCCAUUUGGGAAUUCAGUGAACUAGCAGAAUGAAAUUCUAAGAGACUGGGGCUUGUUGAUGUGUCCACGCUUUCCAUGGGAACUGAUGUUAAAUAUUUCACAAAUACCAUAACUUCCAGGAAUUCACAUAUUCUUUAUUGAAUGUAGAAUUGUGAAAUCUUUAAGAAAUAACUGAAUCAUUAUUUCUUCACUGUCUCCUGCCUGUGAAAGCAGAACUAUGAA
Molecule: long non-coding RNA, 560 nt
Organism: Homo sapiens (human)
Lineage: Eukaryota; Metazoa; Chordata; Mammalia; Primates; Hominidae
Gene: LRRC77P
Product: leucine rich repeat containing 77, pseudogene
Source: Ensembl